GACGAACGCUGGCGGCGUGCCUAACACAUGCAAGUCGAACGGGGUGGUUCCUUCGGGGGAUCACUUAGUGGCGAACGGGUGAGUAACGCGUGAGAAACCUGCCUUUCAGUGGGGGACAACAGUUAGAAACGACUGCUAAUACCGCAUAAUGUUAUCGAGCGGCAUCGCUUGAUAACCAAAGCUUUAUGUGCUGAAAGAUGGUCUCGCGUCUGAUUAGCUAGUUGGUGAGGUAACGGCUCACCAAGGCGACGAUCAGUAGCCGGUCUGAGAGGAUGAACGGCCACAUUGGGACUGAGAUACGGCCCAGACUCCUACGGGAGGCAGCAGUGGGGAAUAUUGGGCAAUGGGGGAAACCCUGACCCAGCAACGCCGCGUGAAGGAAGAAGGCCU
Molecule: ribosomal RNA, 390 nt
Filed under: uncultured bacterium
Lineage: Bacteria
Description: bacterial SSU rRNA
Rfam family: Bacterial small subunit ribosomal RNA
Source: RNAcentral